UACGUAGGGGGGCAAGCGUUGUCCGGAAUUAUUGGGCGUGAAAGAGCAGUGUAGCGGUCCGGUAAGUCGAGCUGUGAAGACAAGGGCUCAACCCUUGAAUGCCGGUUGAUACUGUCGGGCUAGAGUCCGGAAGAGGCGAGUGGAAUUCCCGGUGUAGCGGUCGAAAUGCGUAGAUAUCGAGAGGAACACCUGCGGCGAAGGCGGGUUGCUGGGCUGACACUGACGCUGAUGUGCGAAAGCUAGGGGAGCGAACGGG
This 256-nucleotide ribosomal RNA is filed under the name uncultured bacterium. Its description in RNAcentral is "partial 16S ribosomal RNA". It matches the Rfam family "Bacterial small subunit ribosomal RNA", at positions 524 to 776 of the family's 1533-position model. The record is from RNAcentral.